CGGUGAGAGAUGGGCCCGCGGCCUGUUAGCUUGUUGGUGAGGUAACGGCCCACCAAGGCUAUUAUGGGUAGCUGGGUUGAGAGACCGACCAGCCAGAUUGGGACUGAGACACGGCCCAGACUCCUACGGGAGGCAGCAGUGGGGAAUCUUGCACAAUGGGCGAAAGCCUGAUGCAGCGACGCCGCGUGCGGGAUGAAGGCCUUCGGGUUGUAAACCGCUUUCAGCAGGGACGAGGCGCAAGUGACGGUACCUGCAGAAGAAGCCCCGGCUAAAUACGUGCCAGCAGCCGCGGUAAUACGUAUGGGGCAAGCGUUAUCCGGAUUCAUUGGGCGUAAAGCGCUCGUAGGCGGCCCGUUAGGUCGGGAGUUAAAUUCCGGGGCUCAACCCCGGUCCGCUCCCGAUACCGGCGGGCUUGAGUUUGGUAGGGGAAGGUGGAAUUCCCAGUGUAGCGGUGGAAUGCGCAGAUAUUGGGAAGAACACCGGUGGCGAAGGCGGCCUUCUGGGCCAUAACUGACGCUGAGGAGCGAAAGCUAGGGGAGCAAACAGGAUUAGAUACCCCGGUAGUCUACGCUGUAAACGAUGGAUACUAGCAGUUUUAGGUAUCGACCCCUGGAGUUGCGAAGCUAACGCGUUAAGUAUCCCACCUGUGUAGUACGACCGCAAGAUUAAAACAUAAAGGAAUUGACGGGGACCCGCACAAGCGGUGGAGCGUGAUCUUUAAUUCGAUGGUAAACGAUAAACCUUACCAAGGCUUGACAUCCGAGGAAGGCUCUGGAAACAGAACUGUGCCUUCGGGAACCUCGAGACAGGUGAUGCAUGGCCGUCGUCAGCUCGUGUCGUGAGAUGUUUGGUUAAGUCCAUCAACGAGCGCAACCCUUGCAACCAGUUGGAUUUUUCUGGUAGGACUGCCCCGGUAACGGGGAGGAAGGAGGGGAUGAUGUCAGGUCAGUAUUUCCCUUACGCCUUGGGCUAGAAUCGCGCUACAAUGGCCGGUACAAUGCGAAGCGAAGCAGUGAUGUGAAGCAAACCGCACCAAAGCCGGUCCCAGUUCGGACUGGAGGCUGAAACUCGCCUCCACGAAGUCGGAAUCGCUAGUAAUCGCAGAUCAGCAUGUUGCGGUGAAUACGUUCCCGGGUCUUGCACACACCGCCCGUCAA
Molecule: ribosomal RNA, 1157 nt
Filed under: uncultured bacterium
Lineage: Bacteria
Description: bacterial SSU rRNA
Rfam family: Bacterial small subunit ribosomal RNA
Source: RNAcentral